CAUUCUUCUAGCUUGGAAUAUUAAUGACAGUUUCUUUGUAGUGUCUCUGUACGUGACUGGAGAUGCCAUCAUCCCCAGAUGACGUGAACUCACAGUCUCUCUACUAUGGAUUCCCUUUCAUCUGAUGAGAUACUUUGGAAUACGGGUGUGCACUAGUUAUUUCUGCUAAGAUCCUUGCCUCAUCGUGUUGGACUUGAUCAACGGGAGGCAGCAAUGAGAGAGCAGGAAGUGGAAAGGGAAAACCAUUCUCACUUUUCCUUCCUCCAUUCUGAGUUUAAGAAAGCAUGGAUUUGCCGGGCGGUGGUGGUGCACGCCUUUAAUCCCAGCACUCAGGAGGCAGAG
Long non-coding RNA from Mesocricetus auratus (golden hamster), 342 nucleotides. RefSeq lists it as uncharacterized. The transcript has 3 exons. The record is from RefSeq and is a predicted model, not a curated record. NCBI's taxonomy places the organism in Eukaryota, Metazoa, Chordata, Mammalia, Rodentia, Cricetidae.